UACGGGGGGGGUAAGCGUUGUUCGGAAUUACUGGGCGUAAAGGGCUCGUAGGCGGCCAACUAAGUCAUACGUGAAAUCCCUCAGCUUAACUGGGGAACUGCGUGUGAUACUGGAUGGCUUGGAUUUGGGAGAGGGAUGCGGAAUUCCAGGUGUAGCGGUGAAAUGCGUAGAUAUCUGGAGGAACACCGGUGGCGAGGGCGGCAUCCUGGACCAAUAUUGACGCUGAGGAGCGAAAGCCAGGGGAGCAAACGGG
RNAcentral lists this ribosomal RNA (253 nucleotides) under uncultured bacterium. RNAcentral describes it as "partial 16S ribosomal RNA". It matches the Rfam family "Bacterial small subunit ribosomal RNA", at positions 524 to 776 of the family's 1533-position model. The record is from RNAcentral.